GAAUAUGAAACUUGUUGGAACUUUUUUGACAAAACUUUUCCGGUGACUUUCCGGCCAAAUUCCGGCCAAACGGCUGAACGGAAUUGUAGGGUCAUUAGUGCAUUGGAAAGUUAGUAAAGAGUACUACAAAAUGGUAUACACAUACGUCAAAAAUGAAGUUGUAUUGAAUGAGAAAUAAAGGUGUAAAGUGGGACACUUGGGCCAAACCGGACCGAACCGAACCAGGCUGCGGGUUGUCGGGACGUCCCGUCGUCGGCUCAAGGGCUUUCAGACUUGCGAACCGUCAUACUUGUGAGUUAUUGAGUUUGCUGAGUUGAAUCUUAUGGAAAUAUUCUCAGGAUGGUCUCAAAAUAUUCUCAAGAUAGUUUCAAAAUAUGUCAUGUUUAUCCUGAGAAUGUUCUGCAAAAUCUUAUCUACUUCUACUAUAUAAAGAGAUUCAACCUCUCAUUAUUUCUAAAACUCUCAAACACAAAACAGUCUAAAUUCUAAAAUCUCUCCUCUCUCUUGCUUUUUAAAAGU
RNAcentral lists this small RNA (519 nucleotides) under Arabidopsis thaliana (thale cress). Its description in RNAcentral is "ATSL231870". Lineage: Eukaryota; Viridiplantae; Streptophyta; Magnoliopsida; Brassicales; Brassicaceae. The record is from RNAcentral.